GAUGAACGCUGGCGGCGUGCCUAAUACAUGCAAGUCGAGCGAACGGACGAGAAGCUUGCUUCUCUGAUGUUAGCGGCGGACGGGUGAGUAACACGUGGAUAACCUACCUAUAAGACUGGGAUAACUUCGGGAAACCGGAGCUAAUACCGGAUGAUAUUUUGAACCGCAUGGUUCAAAAGUGAAAGACGGUCUUGCUGUCACUUAUAGAUGGGUCCGCGCUGCAUUAGCUAGUUGGUAAGGUAAAGGCUUACCAAGGCAACGAUGCAUAGCCGACCUGAGAGGGUGAUCGGCCACACUGGAACUGAGACACGGUCCAGACUCCUACGGGAGGCAGCAGUAGGGAAUCUUCCGCAAUGGGCGAAAGCCUGACGGAGCAACGCCGCGUGAGUGAUGAAGGUCUUCGGAUCGUAAAACUCUGUUAUUAGGGAAGAACAUAUGUGUAAGUAACUGUGCACAUCUUGACGGUACCUAAUCAGAAAGCCACGGCUAGCUACGUG
RNAcentral lists this ribosomal RNA (497 nucleotides) under uncultured bacterium. Its description in RNAcentral is "partial 16S ribosomal RNA". It matches the Rfam family "Bacterial small subunit ribosomal RNA", at positions 28 to 507 of the family's 1533-position model. The record is from RNAcentral.